RNAcentral lists this ribosomal RNA (250 nucleotides) under uncultured bacterium. RNAcentral's name for it is "partial 16S ribosomal RNA". It matches the Rfam family "Bacterial small subunit ribosomal RNA", at positions 86 to 339 of the family's 1533-position model. The record is from RNAcentral.
GGGUGGCGAGUGGCGGACGGGUGAGUAACGCGUAGGAAUCUACCCAAAAGUGGGGGACAACUCGAGGAAACUCGAGCUAAUACCGCAUACGCCCUACGGGGCAAAGCCGGGGACCUUCGGGCCUGGCGCUUUUGGAUGAGCCUGCGUUGGAUUAGCUAGUUGGUAGGGUAAAGGCCUACCAAGGCUACGAUCCAUAGCUGGUCUGAGAGGAUGACCAGCCACACUGGGACUGAGACACGGCCCAGACUCC